GGGGAUGUGGCUCAGUUGGUAGAGUGUUUGCUUGGCAUGCACAAGACCCUGCAUCUCCA
RNAcentral lists this transfer RNA (59 nucleotides) under Cricetulus griseus (Chinese hamster). It matches the Rfam family "tRNA". From Rfam's summary of the family: Transfer RNA (tRNA) molecules are approximately 80 nucleotides in length. Their secondary structure includes four short double-helical elements and three loops (D, anti-codon, and T loops). Lineage: Eukaryota; Metazoa; Chordata; Mammalia; Rodentia; Cricetidae. The record is from Rfam by way of RNAcentral.